UGUAACAAUGGUUAUAAGUUCUAUGGCAUUGAGAACCUUGUUUGGGAUGGAAAGAUAUUCUCCCAAUUGAUGGCAGAAACUAGCUAACCUUAGAUGACCUUAAAAAAAAGCAAACCAGGGUAAGACCUGGCUAAUAUAUGGAUAGGAGUCAACCAGGAAAUCUUAACACUCUGAACUAAACUGGGAAGGUAAAAAAAAAUCCCAGAAGAGGGUAAUGGCAAUCUACUUCUGUACUGUUGUCAAGAAAAGAAUACGGACAGUUUAUAUUGACAUCAAGCUAUUUUAUCAGGAGGGAAGAAGGAAGGGAGGGCAGGAGUAAGGAAGGAAGGAAGGAAAAAAAGGGAGAAGAGACAAAAUGAAACCAAUAAAGCAAAUCCAUUUUAUUUGGAAGAACAUUAAAAAUGAACAGAAAAAAAGUGGGGGGGGGGGACAAGUGAAAGGAUGAACAAGGCACCACAACCUUAUACUACAUUAUUACACUUCAACAUUGUUGGAGGUCCAAAUCCAAUGGCACCCAUUUUUCAGAAUCUCAUUGCUUAUUCACCACAAGGGGCCAGUAGUGUGUUGACAGAGAGUUUUGGAUUUAUUCUAUAUUUUCUCUUUGUUUAUCUCUCUGUCUAUCCUGUCUAAGAGUGUGCUAAUCUGAGGUCACUUUCUUCUUUGCCUUUCAUGAUCCUAGAUACACAUACAUGAAACAACUACUCUUAGUGUCUCCUUUGGAUGGGGUAUAGCUACCUAGGGGCUGGGAAUUGUUUUUCCCCUCUGAUGAUUUUCCUUUAAAUAAACCCCUUAUCUAUAAUAAUUACAAAAUUUGCUUCUCUGAACAAUGUUCAAAUUGGAUAUUUACCCUCAGGACACAUAGGAUAUAUUAAUCUCCAACAAUUACCAGAUUACAGGCCAUUUCUUAAAGAAAUUGCAUUAUAUAAUUCCUUUGUUGUAAAUAAAAUGUGUGGGCAUGUACGGUCUAUUUUAUUAAUUGCUAUUUUGAUUUGUCUCUUCCCACUGCUGUUACACCCCUUAAGAGCCAUCCGUGCCUAUUACAGUUGCCUGUGUGAUGGGCAGAGUAAAUGCAAGGAAGAGAGCUUGGAGGCAAUCUCUGCUUUUAUCAGGAAGAAAAAAGACUCCAGAAUGUCAACAUCCUCCAAUUUCUCUGACUUAACUAUUGCUGUAUAAAAUAUCCUUCUUUGAAGAAAGACGCUUAGGAAGAUGACAUCCUGAAAUAAUAAAGAUAAACUGUAUGGAUGGUGUUUCUGGAAAACUUGGCUGAUUUACUUAGCUUUAAAGCUAAGACUACUUCCUCAGAUGUUGUGAAAUCAAGCAGACCAACUGAGUCUGGAGGACUGAAGCAACUUACAGCAGUGUAUAGUUCUAUCUAAGUCAGGGGUCUGCAAACUUGGCUCUUUUAAGACUUGUGGACUUCAACUCCAAG
Ahaetulla prasina is the source of this 1429-nucleotide long non-coding RNA. RefSeq lists it as uncharacterized. Lineage: Eukaryota; Metazoa; Chordata; Lepidosauria; Squamata; Colubridae. The transcript has 4 exons. The record is from RefSeq and is a predicted model, not a curated record.